This 495-nucleotide ribosomal RNA is filed under the name uncultured bacterium. RNAcentral's name for it is "partial 16S ribosomal RNA". It matches the Rfam family "Bacterial small subunit ribosomal RNA", at positions 28 to 507 of the family's 1533-position model. The record is from RNAcentral.
GACGAACGCUGGCGGCGUGCCUAAUACAUGCAAGUAGAACGCUGAAGGAGGAGCUUGCUUCUCUGGAUGAGUUGCGAACGGGUGAGUAACGCGUAGGUAACCUGCCUGGUAGCGGGGGAUAACUAUUGGAAACGAUAGCUAAUACCGCAUAAUAGCAGUUGUUGCAUGACAACUGUUUGAAAGGUGCAAUUGCACCACUACCAGAUGGACCUGCGUUGUAUUAGCUAGUUGGUGGGGUAACGGCUCACCAAGGCGACGAUACAUAGCCGACCGGAGAGGGUGACCGGCCACCCUGGGACUGAGACACGGCCCAGACUCCUACGGGAGGCAGCAGUAGGGAAUCUUCGGCAAUGGACGGAAGUCUGACCGAGCAACGCCGCGUGAGUGAAGAAGGUUUUCGGAUCGUAAAGCUCUGUUGUAAGAGAAGAACGAGUGUGAGAGUGGAAAGUUCACACUGUGACGGUAUCUUACCAGAAAGGGACGGCUAACUACGUG